GAUGAACGCUGGCGGCGUGCCUAAUACAUGCAAGUCGAGCGAACGGACGAGAAGCUUGCUUCUCUGAUGUUAGCGGCGGACGGGUGAGUAACACGUGGAUAACCUACCUAUAAGACUGGGAUAACUUCGGGAAACCGGAGCUAAUACCGGAUAAUAUUUUGAACCGCAUGGUUCAAAAGUGAAAGACGGUCUUGCUGUCACUUAUAGAUGGAUCCGCGCUGCAUUAGCUAGUUGGUAAGGUAACGGCUUACCAAGGCAACGAUGCAUAGCCGACCUGAGAGGGUGAUCGGCCACACGAGAACUGAGACACGGUCCAGACUCCUACGGGAGGCAGCAGUAGGGAAUCUUCCGCAAUGGGCGAAAGCCUGACGGAGCAACGCCGCGUGAGUGAUGAAGGUCUUCGGAUCGUAAAACUCUGUUAUUAGGGAAGAACAGAUGUGUAAGUAACUGUGCACAUCUUGACGGUACCUAAUCAGAAAGCCACGGCUAACUACGUG
This 497-nucleotide ribosomal RNA is filed under the name uncultured bacterium. RNAcentral's name for it is "partial 16S ribosomal RNA". It matches the Rfam family "Bacterial small subunit ribosomal RNA", at positions 28 to 507 of the family's 1533-position model. The record is from RNAcentral.